Molecule: long non-coding RNA, 621 nt
Filed under: Phasianus colchicus (ring-necked pheasant)
Lineage: Eukaryota; Metazoa; Chordata; Aves; Galliformes; Phasianidae
Description: lncRNA (ENSPCLG00000017658.1)
Source: RNAcentral
AUCUUGGUGGCUCUGGGUUUGGUUUGGGGGCCAUCUCAAUGACUUUGGGGCCAUCUCAAUGACUUUGGGUUCAUCUUGUUGGCCCUGGGGUUGGUGUGAGGUCCAUUUCAAUUCAUUUCUAUCCAUCUCAAUGACUUUGGGUCCAUCUCAGUGGCCCUGGGGUUGGUUUGGGGGUCGUCUCAAUGCCUUUCUAUCCAUCUCGAUGACUUUGGGUCCAUCUCAGUGGCCCUGGGGUUGGUGUGAAGGCCGUUUCAUUUCCUUCCUAUCCAUCUCGAUGACUCUGGGGCCAUCGUGGUGUUGUUUUGCUGCCUUUGGGUGCGCAGUUGGACGAGUUCUACGUGGGUCAGAUCCCUCUGAAAGAAGUGACCUUCGCCCGCCUGAACGACAACGUGCGGGAGCCCUUUUUGGCCGAAAUGUGCCGCAAAUACGGCGAGGUGGAGGAGGUGGAGAUCCUCCACCACCCCAAAACCCGAAAGCACCUGGGCUUGGCCCGCGUCCUCUUCACCAGCACCCGCGGCGCCAAGGAAACGGUCAAACACCUCCACAACACGCCGGUGAUGGGCAACGUCAUCCACGUCCAGCUGGACAUCAAGGGUCAGCCCUUCCCUUCCUUCUCUCUUU